AGAGUUUGAUCCUGGGCUCAGGACAAACGCUGGCGGCGUGCCUAACACAUGCAAGUCGAACGUCCUUUUGCAAGAGAGGGCGUGGCGGACGGGUGAGGAACACGUGGAUAACCUACCUUCCAGUGAGGGAUACCGGCGAGAAAUCGCCGACAAUACCGCAUAGGCUCUUUCGCGAGGGAGAGCAAAGCCGCAAGGCGCUGGGAGAUGGGUCUGCGUCCGAUUAGCUAGCUGGUGGGGUAAAGGCCUACCAGGGCGACGAUCGGUAGCUGGUCUGAGAGGAUGAUCAGCCACACUGGGAUUGAGAACGGCCCAGACUCCUACGGGGGGCAGCAGUGAGGAAUCUUCGGCAAUGGGCGCAAGCCUGACCGAGCAACGCCGCGUGCAGGAAGACGGCCUUCGGGUUGUAAACUGCUUUUCUGUGGGACGAGCAAGGACGGUACCACAGGAACCAGCCCCGGCUAACUACGUGCCAGCAGCCGCGGUAAUACGUAGGGGGCGAGCGUUGUCCGGAGUUACUGGGCGUAAAGGGUACGCAGGCGGUUCUGCGCGUUUGGGGUGACAGCUCCCGGCUUCACUGGGAGAGGACUCUAAAGACGGCAGAACUUGAGGGCUGGAGAGGGAACGGGAACUCCUGGUGGAGCGGUGAAAUGCGUAGAGAUCAGGAAGAACACCAAAGGCGAAGGCACGUUCCUGGACAGCAUCUGACGCUCAGGUACGACAGCUAGGGGAGCAAACGGGAUUAGAUACCCCGGUAGUCCUAGCCGUAAACGAUGACCACGAGGUGUGGGGAGGUAUCGACCCCUUCCGUGCCGCCUCUAACGAAGUCAGUGGUCCGCCUGGGGAGUACGGUCGCAAGAUUAAAACUCAAAGGAAUUGACGGGGACCCGCACAAGCAGCGGAGCGUGUGGUUUAAUUCGAUGCAACGCGAAGCACCUUACCAGGGUUUGACAUGCUCUCGCAGCGUGCUGAGAGGCGCGUACCCGCAAGGGACGGGAGCACAGGUGCUGCAUGGCUGUCGUCAGCUCGUGCCGUGAGGUGUUGGGUUAAGUCCCGCAACGAGCGCAACCCCCAUCGUCGGUUAUUGGUGUCCGACGAGACUGCCACGAUCAACGUGGAGGAAGGCGGGGAUGACGUCAAGUCAGCACGGCCCUUACAUCCUGGGCGACACACACGCUACAAUGGUCGGGACAAAGAGUUGCCAACCCGCGAGGGGGAGCUAAUCUCAGCAAACCCGAUCUCAGUUCAGAUUGCAGGCUGCAACCCGCCUGCAUGAAGGAGGAGUUGCUAGUAACCGUGGGUCAGCACACCACGGUGAAUACGUUCCCGGGUCUUGUACACACCGCCCGUCACACCACGAAAGUCGGCAACACCUGAAGCCGCUGGGCUAACCUCGUCAGAGGAGGCAGGCGUCGAGGGUGGGGUCGGUGAUUGGGGUGAAGUCGUAACAAGGUAGCUGUACCGGAAGGUGCGGCUGGGAUCACCUCCUU
RNAcentral lists this ribosomal RNA (1487 nucleotides) under uncultured Ktedonobacteria bacterium. Its description in RNAcentral is "bacterial SSU rRNA". It matches the Rfam family "Bacterial small subunit ribosomal RNA". The record is from RNAcentral. Lineage: Bacteria; Bacillati; Chloroflexota; Ktedonobacteria.